UUGAUAAUGGAGACUAGGCAAUUAAAAAUCAUUCUGUUCUAAAUCCCAUUGCACAGUAUAAUGAAGCUGAACCUAAGAUAUCACUUAGAAUUCAUUACUGUGAAUUCAGUGUCCCCAGAACUACUCAAAAUGCUUCAUAAAUGCUUUCAGUGUCAAAUGAAAUGCCACCAACUAAGUUUAUCUUAUCUUGGGAACUAGCCUGUUUGUUUGAAGGAAAGGAUAAACAAUAAGUAUUGUAUCUUUUAUGAGGAAGAGAAAUAGCAAAAUCUCUACAAGCCAGCUGACUUUAGGAGAAGAGUGAAUAAGUAGAAAAAGCAGCUUCCAAAAGCUGUAUUAAAGAAAUAUCAUUUCAAUUAUGUUUUGCUCAGUUUAUUGAGAUUAACUGCUUAUACUGGUUCAACUUACCAAAUAUUGUUUUCUAAUUUUUCAUGUCACCCUGCUUGUGAAGACACAAU
Molecule: long non-coding RNA, 455 nt
Filed under: Bos taurus (domestic cattle)
Lineage: Eukaryota; Metazoa; Chordata; Mammalia; Artiodactyla; Bovidae
Description: long non-coding RNA NONBTAT023724
Source: RNAcentral